Molecule: long non-coding RNA, 1414 nt
Organism: Zonotrichia albicollis (white-throated sparrow)
Lineage: Eukaryota; Metazoa; Chordata; Aves; Passeriformes; Passerellidae
Source: RefSeq, a predicted model, not a curated record
AACUUCUCUAUUCAGAACUCCCGCUACCAGAGAGCAGUUGGAAAACUGCAGACAGGCUUUAACUGCGGUAUUGCAAUCCCUCCAUCUGGCGUAAGGAAGAGAACUUCAGUAGAAGAGGGAAAACGUAGUAGCAGCUAAACGGAUCGCGAGAUAAAACUUUCAAGAAGUUCUAAUUUAACAGCCACAGGAAGCCAGGCGAGCGCAGAGCCCCCGCGGGUGAUGAGGAUGAGGAAGUACAGCAAAACUGUGUGCAUCAGGCUCAAGACAUCUUCCUUGCAAGUGAAAUGGAGAGCAAUGAGUGCUUCCAAGUGUUAUCAGAAAAAGAUGUGGUACAAUGGAGAACCUGAUCAGAUCUGCUGAUGAUGGAUUUUCCUUGAGUCCUGAUAUGUCAGCUUACAUGGCUAAAAACCAGACGGGAGUAGACACACCUAAGAGAAAAGACAGAAUUUGGAAAGCAUGGAGAAGGUGUGAUUGUCCUUUACACCAGGUCACUACGGGCAUCGUUAAGUGAAUGGAUUCUGCUACAGGAUGCAUUUCACAAUCAUUUAAACAGUUGAGCCAGAAAAAUGCUGAAAACUUUUAAUUCGCCCUCAUUUGAGUGAGCUGAUCCUUUUCUGUGAUGAAUCACUUAAAAUCAGUAAUAAUUUACUUACAGAGUGAUUCCUGUUUCCAGUCUUUUUUAACAUACUGAUGAAUUUUUAAUUUAAUUUGCUAAUGUGUUGGCAAAUUAUACCAGUGUAUAGAAAGGGUCCUUUAAGGACUGGCAACCCUUUUUUCAUUUGUGCCUCUUCCUAAGACUCCAUUAAAAACUCUUUUUUCUUCCCCAUGUCCCCACUCAUUGGCUGGAUUUGUCCCUGUUGUGCUGCCCAGAACAUUCACAUGAGUCAAUCUCACAUGCUCAGACAAAGGCAAGUUGACAGGCUGGAUAUGAUCUGAAAAUAUGAAGGUUUUGUUAAGACCAUAAAACACAGAAAUCUCCGUGCAAUCUGUGUUGCAAAAACACACACAGUUUUUGUAUAUUUCAAUACUUUUGGUCUCACAUCUACUAACAUUUCAUGCUAUAUAUGUCCAUGACAGACCACAUUUGUUCUUACAAAAGCAACUUUGGGAACACCAAUGGUAGGAGUUUGGUUUGGUUUUGGUAAUGAGUGAAAUGUUGGUGGAAAGUUUGUUGUUGUAUCUCAAUUUCUGCAAAUUGUAAUUGUAAAAAAAUGAGAAGCUUAGAUUUGGCUCAUCAAGGUGAAGAUUUAUGGGAACAUAGAGCUUUCAUUGGCCCUGAACAAAUGGCUAAACUUUGCUUUCUGUGGUUUCUAAACACAAAGUAAUCCUUGUCCUCCUGUCAGGAAAAAGAUGUAAUAUCAGAGGUAAUGUUACACUGAGAUUUCUCUUUGCUCAGACCGAGAUAUUUGUCAAU